UACGUAGGGUGCGAGCGUUAAUCGGAAUUAUUGGGCGUAAAGAGCUCGUAGGCGGCUUGUUGCGUCGACCGUGAAAACCCGGGGCUCAACUUCGGGCUUGCGGUCGAUACGGGCGGGCUAGAGUUCGGUAGGGGAGACUGGAAUUCCUGGUGUAGCGGUGAAAUGCGCAGAUAUCAGGAGGAACACCGGUGGCGAAGGCGGGUCUCUGGGCCGAUACUGACGCUGAGGAGCGAAAGCGUGGGGAGCGAAUGGG
This 253-nucleotide ribosomal RNA is filed under the name uncultured bacterium. RNAcentral describes it as "partial 16S ribosomal RNA". It matches the Rfam family "Bacterial small subunit ribosomal RNA", at positions 524 to 776 of the family's 1533-position model. The record is from RNAcentral.